Molecule: ribosomal RNA, 393 nt
Filed under: uncultured bacterium
Lineage: Bacteria
Description: partial 16S ribosomal RNA
Rfam family: Bacterial small subunit ribosomal RNA
Source: RNAcentral
AUACGGAAGGUCCGGGCGUUAUCCGGAUUUAUUGGGUUUAAAGGGAGCGCAGGCGGAGAUGCAAGCGUGACGUCAAAUUUCGGGGCUCAACCCCGUCUCGCGUCGCGAACUGCGUCCCUUGGUUGCGGGAAGGGGAGGCGGAACUCGCGGUGUAGCGGGGGAAUGCAUAGAUAUCACGAAGAACUCCGAUCGCGAAGGCAGCCUUCCGGCCCGUCAACGACGCUCAUGCUCGAAGGUGCGGGUAUCAAACAGGAUUAGAUACCCUGGUAGUCCGCACAGUAAACGAUGGACACCCGCGGUUUGGCCUGUAUGGCUGAGCCGCCAAGCGAAAGCGUUAAGUGUCCCACCUGGGGAGUACGCCGGCAACGGUGAAACUCAAAUGAAUUGACGGGG